Molecule: ribosomal RNA, 1306 nt
Filed under: uncultured bacterium
Lineage: Bacteria
Description: bacterial SSU rRNA
Rfam family: Bacterial small subunit ribosomal RNA
Source: RNAcentral
AACGUACGCUGGCGGCACGCCUAACACAUGCAAGUCGAACGAAGUAGCAAUACUUAGUGGCAGACGGGUGAGUAACAUGUGGGUAUCUGCCCUUUGGCCUGGAAUAACACGAGGAAACUUGUGCUAAUACCGGAUAAGUCUUUACGGAGAAAGCUUUAUGCACCAUUGGAUGAGCCCGCACUUGAUUAGUUUGUUGGUGGGGUAAUGGCCUACCAAGACUGUGAUCAAUAGCUGAUUUGAGAGGAUGAUCAGCCACAUUGGGACUGAGACACGGCCCAAACUCCUACGGGAGGCAGCAGUGGGGAAUCUUGCACAAUGGAGGAAACUCUGAUGCAGCGAUGCCGCGUGAGUGAAGAAGGCCCUUGGGUUGUAAAGCUCUUUCGUCGGGGAAGAAAAUGACUGUACCCGAAUAAGAAGGUCCGGCUAACUUCGUGCCAGCAGCCGCGGUAAUACGAAGGGACCUAGCGUAGUUCGGAAUUACUGGGCUUAAAGAGUUCGUAGGUGGUUGAAAAAGUUAGUGGUGAAAUCCCAGAGCUUAACUCUGGAACUGCCAUUAAAACUUUUCAGCUAGAGUAUGAUAGAGGAAAGCAGAAUUUCUAGUGUAGAGGUGAAAUUCGUAGAUAUUAGAAAGAAUACCAAUUGCGAAGGCAGCUUUCUGGAUCAUUACUGACACUGAGGAACGAAAGCAUGGGUAGCGAAGAGGAUUAGAUACCCUCGUAGUCCAUGCCGUAAACGAUGUGUGUUAGACGUUGGAAAUUUAUUUUCAGUGUCGCAGCGAAAGCGAUAAACACACCGCCUGGGGAGUACGACCGCAAGGUUAAAACUCAAAUGAAUUGACGGGGACCCGCACAAGUAGUGGAGCAUGUGGUUUAAUUCGAAGAUACGCGCAGAACCUUACCAACACUUGACAUGUUCGUCGCGACUCUAAGAGGUUAGAGUUUUCGGUUCGGCCGGACGAAACACAGGUGCUGCAUGGCUGUCGUCAGCUCGUGUCGUGAGAUGUUGGGUUAAGUCCCGCAACGAGCGCAACCCUCACUUUUAGUUGCCAUCAUUAAGUUGGGCACUCUGAAAGAACUGCCAGUGAUAAGCUGGAGGAAGGUGGGGAUGACGUCAAGUCCUCAUGGCCCUUACGUGUUGGGCUACACACGUGCUACAAUGGUAUCUACAACAGGAAGCAAGACUGCGAGGUCAAGCAAAUCCUUAAAAGAUACCUCAGUUCGGAUUGCACUCUGCAACCCGAGUGCAUGAAGCUGGAAUUACUAGUAAUCGUGGAUCAGCGUGCCACGGUGAAUGCGUUCCCGGGUCU